AUCAUUUCAUAUUGAAGAUGGUAAUGAGUUUACUGUACUAAAAUGGCCUCCACAAUAACCAGAUCUCAAUCCAAUGUAGCACCUUUUGGGAUGUGGUGGAACGGGAGAUUCGCAUCAUGG
Long non-coding RNA from Nanorana parkeri, 120 nucleotides. RefSeq lists it as uncharacterized. The record is from RefSeq and is a predicted model, not a curated record. The transcript has 3 exons. Lineage: Eukaryota; Metazoa; Chordata; Amphibia; Anura; Dicroglossidae.